Molecule: ribosomal RNA, 117 nt
Filed under: Cyanobacteria bacterium CAN_BIN43
Lineage: Bacteria; Bacillati; Cyanobacteriota
Source: RNAcentral
CCUGGUGUUUAUGGCGCGGUGGAACCACUCUCAUCCAUCCCGAACUGAGGUGUGAAACGCUGUUGCGGCGAAGAUAGUUGGGGGGUAGCUCCCUGCAAAAAUAGCUCAAUGCCAGGU